RNAcentral lists this ribosomal RNA (497 nucleotides) under uncultured bacterium. RNAcentral's name for it is "partial 16S ribosomal RNA". It matches the Rfam family "Bacterial small subunit ribosomal RNA", at positions 28 to 507 of the family's 1533-position model. The record is from RNAcentral.
GAUGAACGCUGGCGGCGUGCCUAAUACAUGCAAGUCGAGCGAACAGAUGAGGAUCUUGCUCCUCUGACGUUAGCGGCGGACGGGUGAGUAACACGUGGAUAACCUACCUAUAAGACUGGGAUAACUUCGGGAAACCGGAGCUAAUACCGGAUAAUAUAUUGAACCGCAUGGUUCAAUAGUGAAAGACGGUUUUGCUGUCACUUAUAGAUGGAUCCGCGCCGCAUUAGCUAGUUGGUAAGGUAACGGCUUACCAAGGCAACGAUGCGUAGCCGACCUGAGAGGGUGAUCGGCCACACUGGAACUGAGACACGGUCCAGACUCCUACGGGAGGCAGCAGUAGGGAAUCUUCCGCAAUGGGCGAAAGCCUGACGGAGCAACGCCGCGUGAGUGAUGAAGGUCUUCGGAUCGUAAAACUCUGUUAUUAGGGAAGAACAAAUGUGUAAGUAACUAUGCACGUCUUGACGGUACCUAAUCAGAAAGCAACGGCUAACUACGUG